AUUUGUCAAUUUGUCAAUUUUUCAGAAGUCAGUAAUUUCAAUUGAAGAACUGUGAGUGUGCUGUCUUUUAGGGGUUUUUUUUGUUUGUUUUUUUAAUUUUGCCAAUAGUUUUAGAGAAAAAUUGAGGCGGGAAACGAGGAGGAAAGUUUUCAUAAUGUGCUGAAAUCUCAACUAAGGACGUUUGAAGCAGGCCACCUUAAGGCAAUGCCCUACAUGACCACAUGAGGGCGACAUACUCCUCAAAGCACCUUGUGUCAGACUGCCAAAGUGAAUCCCAUAGAAGAUUUUCAAGUACCUCAUGCAUCCCUCGCCCCAGGUUUGGAGGUCCGACUGAUCAUGCCCCAGGCCCUGAUGUGCACCGUAGAUCAAAAUAGACGGAUAAAGGAAACAACCAUCACUUAUCUUCCAGACAACCUUCUAACAACGUGAUUGAAUACACACAUCUUUUUAUUUAAUUCUGUUAUGUUGUAUAGUGUUAUGCAGUGUCAUAUCUCAUACUGUGCUUUCUGCUGAUCCAACCCAUAUGUUUCAUAUGUGUUUGCAGACCUGGAGAAGUAAUAUUGAAAAUUAUCAACUAAUAUUUGAAUUCUAACUUUACACUUUGCCUUGUGCACAGACAAGGAAAUGUCAGUGACAUUUGUUUUAAAGGAAACUGCUUCAGUCAUAUUGCCCAGAGCCAUGCAGUCAUGUUGUAAAUAAAGACAACAUCUUCACCUGGUGGUGAAUUCGCUAAUCAGUAGUGAGGUGAGAUGGCAACUGU
This is a long non-coding RNA of Sebastes umbrosus (honeycomb rockfish), 760 nucleotides long. RefSeq lists it as uncharacterized. The record is from RefSeq and is a predicted model, not a curated record. The transcript is spliced from 4 exons. NCBI's taxonomy places the organism in Eukaryota, Metazoa, Chordata, Actinopteri, Perciformes, Sebastidae.